AAGAGAUAAGGUGUUCAUAGGAUAGGAGUGUAGGGACAGUUGUCACCAAAUUAAAACCGAGAAAACUAAAAUGUCCACGAGAAACGACACGACACCAUUUGUCACUUCAACUCGUUGACAAAUCUGAAGUCUGAAGUCACAAGUCUGGUUCGUUUAACCGAAGUCUGAAGUCAAGCACUCCACGAGAAACGACACAACACCAUUGGUCACGUCAACUCGUUGACAAGUCUGUAGUCUGAAGUCUCAAGUCUGGUUCGUUUAACCGAAGUCUGAAGUCAAGCACUCCACGAGAAACGACGCAGCACCACUGGGCAGUCGUCAACUCGUUAACAAAUCUUGAAGAUUGUCGGGGUAUGAGGCUCCUCCUUCAAUCUUUCCACCGAAAGGAUUACCUCGUAUUGUUCAGGCCUACCAAAAGGGUACCUCAAGAUAAUCUUGAAGUCCCUUCAGUAGUUUGGCCUAGAGGAUGAAAACAAAUCGCUGGAUGUACAACCAGUUGAUCUUAACAAAACGAAUUUGAAACCACUCUAAUAAAAUAUUGGAUUCCAAUUACUCCGACUUUCCUAUGUUGUUAUAUCUGGAUAAACGGAGAAUUUACAAUCUAAAUUUUAUAACUACUUCCAACGCUGAUAAUCCGAUUUAAGCCAACAACUUGUACACCAAGCCGGAAGUGUCUGUUUAAAAUACGUUCAGUCCUUGUAGGAUCUACCUCAACAAUAGGACGUACCUUCUCAGGUACUUAACGUGGCCUUUUUCAACUUACCUCACCAUGAGUUUUAUCUGAAACUUUCCGAAUACUGUUUCAGUUCACCGGGAAAGAAGUUGUCUGAGAGUCUUACUUUCCUAAAAAAACGUCUCACCGCGCGAUACUAGGUAUCGAAACAACGACCUCCAUCAUAACGGUAAUUCUAGUUACUACUGUUGCAACUUGUGAUAAAGGUUUGCUUCUUCCCUAACACUGUUCCACUAAGCAAUAGCGGGUACGAUAAGUUAUAUCACUGCCUAUACGAUCGCCAGUACUGACUCGCACGGUUCCAACUACAGGUUUAACUACCCCAUCAAUUAGUAGAUCGAUCAACUACCACCAGAGAGAUAUGAAGUUUACGGCUGCUAUACUAAGAGAAGUAUCUAGUACUGGAGCUCUUUCGCUCUUUAGACUUUGACUAAAAUAGUCGUAAGUUCGUUUAGAGUCCAGAAUUCUAGUUAAAAGUAUCUUCACUUAACAAAAAGAAGCCGCUCCGAGUUCUGCUCCGGGUGGACAUACG
RNAcentral lists this ribosomal RNA (1265 nucleotides) under Triticum aestivum (bread wheat). RNAcentral's name for it is "partial small subunit ribosomal RNA". Lineage: Eukaryota; Viridiplantae; Streptophyta; Magnoliopsida; Poales; Poaceae. The record is from RNAcentral.